GCAGGUUUAGUAUAACGGCUAUUACAGUUGAUUUGUAAUCAUCAAAUGGGGGUUCGAUUCCCUCAACCUGCUCCA
Molecule: transfer RNA, 75 nt
Filed under: Bacillus phage vB_BcoS-136
Lineage: Duplodnaviria; Heunggongvirae; Uroviricota; Caudoviricetes
Description: tRNA-Thr
Rfam family: tRNA
About the family: Transfer RNA (tRNA) molecules are approximately 80 nucleotides in length. Their secondary structure includes four short double-helical elements and three loops (D, anti-codon, and T loops).
Source: RNAcentral